GGCGAAGCUGAGAACUUAAGCGCCAGUAAACGGCGGUGGUAACUAUAACCAUCCUAAGGUAGCGAAAUUCCUUGUCGGGUAAGUUCCGACCUGCACGAAUGGCGUAACGACUUCUCGACUGUCUCAACCAUAGGCCCGGUGAAAUUGCACUACGAGUAAAGAUGCUCGUUUCGCGCAGCAGGACGGAAAGACCCCGGGACCUUUACUAUAGCUUGAUAUUGGUGUUCGGUUCGGCUUGUGUAGGAUAGGUGGGAGACUGUGAAGCAUGCACGCCAGUGUGUGUGGAGUCGUCGUUGAAAUACCACUCUGGUCGUGCUGGAUGUCUAACCUGGGUCCGUGAUCCGGAUCAGGGACAGUGUCUGGUGGGUAGUUUAACUGGGGCGGUUGCCUCCUAAAGGGUAACGGAGGCGCCCAAAGGUUCCCUCAGCCUGGUUGGCAAUCAGGUGUUGAGUGUAAGUGCACAAGGGAGCUUGACUGUGAGACCGACGGGUCGAGCAGGGACGAAAGUCGGGACUAGUGAUCCGGCGGUGGCUUGUGGAAGCGCCGUCGCUCAACGGAUAAAAGGUACCCCGGGGAUAACAGGCUGAUCUUCCCCAAGAGUCCAUAUCGACGGGAUGGUUUGGCACCUCGAUGUCGGCUCGUCGCAUCCUGGGGCUGGAGUCGGUCCCAAGGGUUGGGCUGUUCGCCCAUUAAAGCGGUACGCGAGCUGGGUUUAGAACGUCGUGAGACAGUUCGGUCCCUAUCCGCUGUGCGCGUAGGAGUCUUGAGAAGGGCUGUCCCUAGUACGAGAGGACCGGGACGGACGAACCUCUGGUGUGCCAGUUGUUCUGCCAAGGGCAUGGCUGGUUGGCUACGUUCGGGAGGGAUAACCGCUGAAAGCAUCUAAGCGGGAAGCCUGCUUCGAGAUGAGGACUCCCAC
Molecule: ribosomal RNA, 919 nt
Filed under: Streptomyces mobaraensis NBRC 13819 = DSM 40847
Lineage: Bacteria; Bacillati; Actinomycetota; Actinomycetes; Kitasatosporales; Streptomycetaceae
Description: bacterial LSU rRNA
Rfam family: Bacterial large subunit ribosomal RNA
Source: RNAcentral